CCAUGCUCUUCGAACUUGGAUUUUAUUCAAAAAGAAACAAAUGUUUCAAUUAAUAAUGCAAGCAGACAUAAAAUUAUAACUACACAAAAUGAAAAAUGAUAAUGUUAUGCCGAUAUAUGAAAAGAAUGAAGAAGGACACACAACUAUCAAAUGAACACUUUGAAAACAUCUCUGAUGUAAAAGAUGACAUACAAAAAAUUUUGCGUAUGCAAGCAACAGCAAAUAUUACUCUAAAUGAUAUACAACAUUUAUUAAAAAUAGAAACUGCUAUUAAACGUUGCGCGUUAAGUCCUGUCAACAUUAAUGAUGACCUUAUAGCACCAUUUUUACCAUUAAGAACAAUUGAUGCAAUCAAGGAGUUUGAUACAUUAUUAAAAACAUCAGAUGAAGCUGUAAAACAAUUUCAAAAGUUUUUGUCAAAAACUGGUGGAAAAAAUACUAGGGACAAUAUUCACCGCACCCUAAAAAAGACAUUAACAAAUAAAUAUUCUAUGAAAUGUUCCUGGAAAAGAUUGCAAAAUAAUUUUAUAAUUUCAAACUUACAUUUAAUAAAAAUUAUUGAAAAAGACAUAAUAUCAUGUUAUGUUACGUGUACGGAGACAGAAUUUGAAAACAUAGUUGCAGAGUGGUUGCUUUGCAACACAACGAAACAAGAGAGACAUAGCAAAGGAGAAUGUUGAGCAGGAUGUCGAUGCUGAAUGACAUGGCAAUAAAAAAUAUAAACAGUGUCUAAAUAAUAUAUAUGGAUUUUAUUAAAAAAAUAUAAUGUACCGCGAUAUUGUUUAGAUUUACGUUUUUUUAGAUGACUAUAUAAAGAGUGCCUAAAUAAUACAUAUAUUUUAUAAAAAAAUAUAAUGUACCGUGACAUUGAUUGUAUUACUACACUGAUUAUAUUACUACUGAUUGUAUUACUCAUCGAGUUAUGUAUUUUAUAGAUUUACGAUAGGAUAUUUUUAUUUACAUAAAUUUAACCAAAAACAAUUAUAAGAAGGCGCCUUUAUAUAAAAAUUUAUAGUAUAUAAUAAUGU
Molecule: RNA transcript, 1028 nt
Organism: Monomorium pharaonis (pharaoh ant)
Lineage: Eukaryota; Metazoa; Arthropoda; Insecta; Hymenoptera; Formicidae
Exons: 6
Source: RefSeq, a predicted model, not a curated record